CUGAGCCUACGGGGCGCAGCAGUGGGGAAUAUUGCACAAUGGGGGAAACCCUGAUGCAGCGACGCCGCGUGAAGGAAGAAGUAGUUCGGUAUGUAAACUUCUAUCAGCAGGGAAGAAGAUGACGGUACCUGACUAAGAAGCCCCGGCUAACUACGUGCCAGCAGCCGCGAUAAUACAUAGGGAGCAAGCGUUAUCCGGAUUUAUUGGGUGUAAAGGGUGCGUAGACGGGAAAUUAAGUUAGUUGUGAAAUCCCUCGGCUUAACUGAGGAACUGCAACUAAAACUGAUUUUCUUGAGUACUGGAGA
Molecule: ribosomal RNA, 305 nt
Filed under: uncultured bacterium
Lineage: Bacteria
Description: bacterial SSU rRNA
Rfam family: Bacterial small subunit ribosomal RNA
Source: RNAcentral